Long non-coding RNA from Micropterus dolomieu (smallmouth bass), 2636 nucleotides. RefSeq lists it as uncharacterized. The record is from RefSeq and is a predicted model, not a curated record. The transcript has 3 exons. Lineage: Eukaryota; Metazoa; Chordata; Actinopteri; Centrarchiformes; Centrarchidae.
AGGCAGCUUGGCUGAACAAGAGGGGCCUCUUAAGGAUAUUUUGGGGCUCCUUUUCACUGACCUGCUGUCAUCAUCGCAACAGAGAGCAGAUAAGAAAGAGAGAAUACAGACGAGACACCAAGACCUGCAUCAAGCAAUAUUCCUUUUGAUAUUUAUGUUCCUGGACCGUGCCUGCCUUUUGGAUUUAGGAUUUUGCCUGCUCCCUAUUGGAUUUGUUUGCCUGUUUGGCUCUGUCUUUGGCAAAGCCUUGGCUGAGGAAGUCCAUCACCCAUGCAGAUAUGGAAUUCCGCAGCCAAGAAUAUGAGGAAAAUUUUGUGAGCCUGCAAUCUUCCUGUCCUGAACCAGUUAACCCACUACCAUCCUGAUCCUGUCAGUCCUGAGUUGACUAGCUUCCUGCCUGAUUCCACCUCCAAUGAGUUUCCUUUCUGGAAACCUGGACCUGGCUAGCCCUCGAGAUGGUGGCACAAGAGCACCCAAGAGUCUGCCCAGCACUACAGAGGCCCAGGCCCCCAGCUCCUCGUUCACCUUUGUCACCAGCCUCCAAAGGGGUUCCUGCCCAUCCUCCACCGCUCAGCAUCCAGGCCAUCAUCCAGAGGUGCUCCGUCCUUAGGUCCUGCCUCCUGGACACCAACCCCCUGGGAUAUGUUUGCCCUCUGGGAUCAUAAAGUUUGAACUUGAACAUGAACAUACAAACACACAGGCUGUGCUCCCCCAGCAGCUGGUUUCAUUAGCUGUUACUUUUCUGUGAACACGACCACAUUUUCCUUGAAAAAUAGUGACUGCAUUUGUUUUCCCACCACUGCUGCUGCAGUUCAGAUUCUGUGGUCCUUGUCUUUUAAAGGGGAGAGACUCAGUUGUGGUAACAAGGGGGGGAUGAAGAGUAGAGGGAAUGCCAGAACUCCACAGCAAAAAUUUGUUGUUGCCAGCAGUGAUGGAAAGCAGACAAGCAGUAACUCCUGCUCAAAGUUUGGACAUAUCUUGAAUCUUGUGUGCGAGACUUAAUUCCUACGCUUAUUUCUAGGAAUGGCACAUGAUUGCAUGUUGCACAUGUCCAGAUUUACAAAAGAGUAAAGUCUGAGUAUUCCCUCAUGGUGUGUCUUGUUGAUCCAAAAAAACAUAUUCUGUGAGCAGAAUGUUUUAGGGCAUAAACUAAACAUUCAUUGUCUUUUGUACAGCUAGUUCUUAUUGAAAGGCUCACACUGGAGGAUAGAUUUCUUCUGGAUUUAUUCACUGAUCUGAAAACUAAAAUGCUAAAAGUCAUCUUUGUGGAUUCAACAACACUUGUCCACUAAUAACACAAAGUCACGAGUGAAUGUUUCCUCAGUGACCACAUUGAGAAAAGACGGAUGUUCAUCUAUGCAUCUUCAUCUAUGUAUGUUCCACUUUGCUAACUCUCAUCUGUCAUACACAAGUGUUAUCGGGGCAACAUGAUGCUGAUAGUUGCACAUUACUGGGUGUCAUAGACAUGUGACUGAAUUUCAGUGUUGCACCAGCUGUCAGCAGGUGCAGGGUAAAUUUUAACAAAACCUUUUACUGCUUUUGUAAUUAGUACUGAGUACUGAAAAGCCAGUGGAUCUCAGAGGGCAAUAAGAAAUUCACAAUGUUGAUAAUUAAAGGGAAUAAAGUUAUGUUGUGUAUUGAGAGAUCUUUAAGAAAGAUUCAUUGCCAAGUUUGAUGAUUAGAAGAAGACUGUGAUUGUGUGUAAUUAUUUCUUUAGAAUCCCAAUUUUUAAAAGGUUUUGGAAAGUCAAGUGAACAUUUUUCUUUGGAAGUCUGAGUCACUUGAGGAUCUGAUCAAUUAGAAAAAAAAGAAAUGGAAACAGCUGUCCUCCUGAGAAGCAGAUAAGCCUUUUUAAGUGUAAUCAAAAAUCAAAGGGUUAGUUACCCGUAAUGCAAUUUUCCACUUCAUUGACUUUGUCCAAAUCCUGACUGUUGCUCAAUUCCUUUCCUGCCUUUAAACAGUCGAGUGGGAUUCUCUUUCAGAGAAACUAAUCCACAAACUAAAAGAAUCAUCAUACAACAUGUCUCUUUCUGAGUCACGUGAAUGGGUUCUGUGUUAUGUAAUGUUAUGUAAUUUGUUUUGAAUUUUUAGCAAAGCUGGCUUAGUGAUAACAACCAGCUACAAUCUUGUGCUAUUAAAUGUUGUAUGUUGGCUUUAAGUGGCUUCGGGUGUUGGCUGAUCUACAACAACCUUUGUGUUUGACAAGUAUAACUGUUAAUACAAUUGUAAGCCACGUGGGACGCAGAGAGAGCAUUGUUUUGACGGGCACCUUGCAGGUAUAGAGUACACCGUGUCUACAGAGGCUGCGUAGUGAAAGCAGCACAUCAGCAGGGCAGCAGUAGAGCCCAACACACAAGUGUUGUAGUUCUACUCAUGAAACAGAACUUAAAGCGUAAAACAAGUGAAACAUGAGCCUGUGUAAACAGGUGUAUUGCUUAAAAACACAUCUGUUCUAGCAGAUGUGUGUGACAUCGAUGACAAAAACAGGGGUGAAAGGGCUUCUGUGAAGACGAGCAGUCACAUUUAAUGCUUGUACCUCAGUUACUGUAGAUAUGACAGCUUCUCUAGAUGUAUUCUUGUACAAGCUGCUUUGUUUAUCUUGUACUUAAUCAUCGCAUAAUGCCAUUAAAACAAAU